AUGCACGCUGGCGGCGUGCCUAAUACAUGCAAGUCGAGCGAACAGACGAGGAGCUUGCUCCUCUGACGUUAGCAGCGGACGGGUGAGUAACACGUGGAUAACCUACCUAUAAGACUGGGAUAACUUCGGGAAACCGGAGCUAAUACCGGAUAAUAUAUUGAACCGCAUGGUUCAAUAGUGAAAGACGGUUUUGCUGUCACUUAUAGAUGGAUCCGCGCCGCAUUAGCUAGUUGGUAAGGUAACGGCUUACCAAGGCAACGAUGCGUAGCCGACCUGAGAGGGUGAUCGGCCACACUGGAACUGAGACACGGUCCAGACUCCUACGGGAGGCAGCAGUAGGGAAUCUUCCGCAAUGGGCGAAAGCCUGACGGAGCAACGCCGCGUGAGUGAUGAAGGUCUUCGGAUCGUAAAACUCUGUUAUUAGGGAAGAACAAAUGUGUAAGUAACUAUGCACGUCUUGACGGUACCUAAUCAGAAAGCCACGGCUAACUACGUG
RNAcentral lists this ribosomal RNA (496 nucleotides) under uncultured bacterium. Its description in RNAcentral is "partial 16S ribosomal RNA". It matches the Rfam family "Bacterial small subunit ribosomal RNA", at positions 29 to 507 of the family's 1533-position model. The record is from RNAcentral.